UGGGGAAUAUUGCACAAUGGGCGCAAGCCUGAUGCAGCAACGCCGCGUGAACGAUGAAGGUCUUCGGAUCGUAAAGUUCUGUUGCAGGGGAAGAUAAUGACGGUACCCUGUGAGGAAGCCCCGGCUAACUACGUGCCAGCAGCCGCGGUAAUACGUAGGGGGCUAGCGUUAUCCGGAUUUACUGGGCGUAAAGGGUGCGUAGGUGGUCCUUCAAGUCGGUGGUUAAAGGCUACGGCUCAACCGUAGUAAGCCGCCGAAACUGGAGGACUUGAGUGCAGGAGAGGAAGGUGGGAUUCCCAGUGUAGCGGGGAAAUGCGUAGAUAUUGGGAGGAACACCAGUAGCGAAGGCGGCUUUCUGGACUGCAACUGACACUGAGGCACGAAAGCGUGGGUGGCAAACAGG
Molecule: ribosomal RNA, 403 nt
Filed under: Verrucomicrobiota bacterium
Lineage: Bacteria; Pseudomonadati; Verrucomicrobiota
Description: Verrucomicrobia bacterium partial 16S ribosomal RNA
Rfam family: Bacterial small subunit ribosomal RNA
Source: RNAcentral